This 468-nucleotide ribosomal RNA is filed under the name uncultured bacterium. RNAcentral's name for it is "partial 16S ribosomal RNA". It matches the Rfam family "Bacterial small subunit ribosomal RNA", at positions 28 to 507 of the family's 1533-position model. The record is from RNAcentral.
GACGAACGCUGGCGGCGUGCUUAACACAUGCAAGUCGAACGGAAAGGCCCUGCUUUUGUGGGUUGCUCGAGUGGCGAACGGGUGAGUAACACGUGAGUAAACUGCCCUUGACUUUGGGAUAAAUUCAGGAAACUGGGGAUAAUACCGGAUAGGAGCUCCUGCUGCACGGUGGGGGAUGGAAAGUUUCGGUGGUUGUGGAUGGAAUCGCGGCUUAUGCGCUUGUUGGUGGGGUUGGGGCUUACAAAGGCUUUGAAGGGUAGCCGGCCUGAGAGGGUGACCGGCCACAUUGGGACUGAGAUACGGCCCAGACGCCUACGGGAGGCAGCAGUGGGGAAUAUUGCACAAUGGGCGGAAGCCUGAUGCAGCAACGCCGCGUGCGGGAUGACGGCCUUCGGGUUGUAAACCGCUUUCGCCUGUGACGAAGCGUGAGUGACGGUAAUGGGUAAAGAAGCACCGGCUAACUACGUG